UACGGGGGGAGCAAGCGUUGUUCGGAUUUACUGGGCGUAAAGGGCGCGUAGGCGGCCACCGCAAGUCGACUGUGAAAUCUCCGGGCUUAACCCGGAAAGGUCAGCCGAUACUGCGGGGCUAGAGUGCAGAAGGGGCAACUGGAAUUCUCGGUGUAGCGGUGAAAUGCGUAGAUAAUCGAGAGGAACACCUGCGGCGAAGGCGGGUGCUGGGCUGACACGUGACGUGAGGCGCGAAAGCUAGGGGAGCGAACGGG
RNAcentral lists this ribosomal RNA (254 nucleotides) under uncultured bacterium. RNAcentral describes it as "partial 16S ribosomal RNA". It matches the Rfam family "Bacterial small subunit ribosomal RNA", at positions 524 to 776 of the family's 1533-position model. The record is from RNAcentral.